CAAAGAUGAUGAGGUUAAUAGGUUCGAGGUGGAAGCAUGGUGACAUGUGGAGCUGACGAAUACUAAUCGAUCGAAGACUUAAUCAA
RNAcentral lists this ribosomal RNA (86 nucleotides) under Staphylococcus aureus. Its description in RNAcentral is "partial 23S ribosomal RNA". It matches the Rfam family "Bacterial large subunit ribosomal RNA", at positions 2839 to 2925 of the family's 2925-position model. The record is from RNAcentral. Lineage: Bacteria; Bacillati; Bacillota; Bacilli; Caryophanales; Staphylococcaceae.